GCCACCUGCCGCCCGCGGGCGCGACCGAGCGGGCCGGGGACGCGCCUCCGCCCGCUGCCUGGAAGCCGCUCGGCCAGGGGCCAGCAACCGAACCGCCGCCCUGCCCGUCCCAGGAGCUCGCCCAGAGCCUCGGGCCGCGUCCUGGGGCGUUAAGCCAGCGGACCCCAGAGGACACUGGCCGCCUGCGCGUCGCGCUCCUCAGCCCGGGUUCCAGGCAGCGCGAACGCGGGCGGUGCGUCAAGGGACACCUGGCACCGCGGGGCACGUGCAGAGGGCUUGGGGAGCCGAGGAUCGCGUCGGCAGGGACGGCUCAGUGCCCAAACCUGGGGCUGGCAGUGAAGGGACAGUGUCAGGGGCAGAGGACUGGGCGAAGUACCUCGGGGAGCUCUGGAGCACAGGGAAGCAGGGAAGUGAGACUUAACCUUGGCCUUCUGAACCUGGGGCCAGGGGAGUCCUGGUGGAGUCUCGGCAUUGCGCCUCCAAAUUUUCAGUGGCACCACGCCCAGGGCUUCCUGGUGCUCUUGCUGCUUUGGCUUCCUGGGUCUCAACUCAUGGCAGUGGUUAGUAGCACUGUGCCGUCACCCAGGAGAAAUCUGAGGCUCCUUGGGGGAUAAAUAACUUGUCCGGGGUGAGUGGAGAAGCCUGGACUGCACUCCGUGUCUGCUUCUCCCUGAAGUCUGGACUGCACCCCUCAAGGGUUCGCUACUGCCAGAUGAGCCGUCGGCACGCGCAGAUGCCAUGAGCAUCUACCAACAGGAGAGCCUACCCGCCUCCCUUGCCUGUUCCUGGCCUGCCUCUUCUGCUGAUGCCUCACACUGGCCAAGAAUUGGUCUCCGAGACCCUCUUCCCUCCAGAUGAACUGGCCGGAACCUUGUGAAUAGACCAGAGGACAGGUCAGCAUGUAGGACGCAUAGGCAACCAGAAGAGAACUGAUCAGUACCCCGGCAAGGCUCACCCAAACUUCACUGUGCGCCGUGGAUUCUCUUCAGGAGCCUGGCGUAGCACUGCAAAUUGUGCAGACAAUGAGAGUACCAAGCCAUUCCUUCUAUAGGAAAUAGAAUUAAGCUCCCACAAGCCUCUGCUCUUCACAGUUUUACAAACCAACCUACACAGUAUCUGUUUUGUGCCCCACAGGUACUGACGAGGGUAAGCUAAUUCAAAAACAGGAAAUCUGCAAAUUACCAAAAUCGAUGUGCUUCUCAAGUCAGCAGACACAUCAGUAGAGAAACGGCCAUGAGAACAUCUCAGUGUAUUCACCAGACACUUCCAGACAUUUAUCCUGCCUUAAGUGACUUAAGGGACUUGAUGCAACGUCCUAUGGGAUGGAUAUUAUUUUCUUCCUCUUCUUACAGAUAAGCAAACUGAAGCAGAAGGGUUGAAACGUCGACAUAUAUUCCUCGUGAGCUGUCUGUGCCACUUCUCAGAUCAUUUGUAUCUAAAACCAGCCCUGAUGUAACGUGGGGUUGAUUGCAAAAUCUACAUGAAUAUUCAACGUGAAAUGGAGAAUUCAAAGAAAUAUUAUGCUGGUGCAGUGGCAGCUGUGUCGAGUUGGCGGCCCCAUCUGCAGCUCAGGAAGAACUAAAGUAGACUUGGAAGUUGAUUCAAGAGGGCUGUGUUGCUGGCUUGGAGGAAAGAAAACAAGUCAAACCCCAUGGAAGGCAGAGUGGACUGUGUGAGGAAUGAAGGAUUCAGCAUGGCCCUGGGAGUUAACAGACAAAGUUAGGCAGAAGGUGAGCAUGGGAGUGCCAGGAAACCCAGCCCUGACCCAGACUUGGCCACAUGUUGAGAGCUUCCGGGCAAGAUGUUUCUCUGAGGAUCAGCUUUCUCCUGCUUGUGUUGAAGUGACAUAGAAAGCUCCAAUAAGUCUGUGCAGUGUGACUUCUGAGACUUUUUUGUGUUUUGUUUGUAUACGCCAUCCUUCCUUCUCUGGUUCAGAUGUGGUUUGUCCUCCAGGACUGCAGGUGAGAGUCCUGGUCCUUGGUAUGGGGGUGUGAUUGGAAGUCCCUAGGUUACCAGGGGCUGCCCUUGGAAGGAGUUAAGUGGUUAUCAUGGGCCCUGAAUCUGUUCUUGCAAGAACCAGAUGUUAUGAGCCUGACGCCCGAAUUGCUCCCUGUGGCUUCCUGCCUUGCACUCAAACCUCAUUCCCACAAUGUGUAUUUCUUAUGAUGCUACCCACCACACGAUCUUGGCCAGACCUGAGCAGAUGCCAGCACCAUGCUGUCAACUACCUGACUGUGAGUUCAAUCAGCCUCUUUUCUUUAUAAAAGAACCUAGCCUCAAGGAUGUCAUGGCAGUAAUGAGAAACAGACUAUUACACUACUCUUACUUUAUUACUGAACAGCUAAACUGUUCUCCUGGCAUCUGCAUCAGCUCAGGUUGCCAGGGUGGCAGCAGUCGUGAUUGUGAAGUCCCUGAUUGAUUGAUUGAUUUUAUUAGUAAAUGUUUGCAAUGCAUAAUAAUUACAUCCACCUUGGUAAAGUAAUACAUACAUAUUUUGCAUCUCAAUCACUUGUAUCCCCCUCUCCCUGCCUUUCCUUCUCCUCCUUCCCCAGGUUCCCCACGUAACUUUGGAGUCUACCUCCUUAUUUCCUUUCAUCUUUCAUUUUUUGUUCUUUAACUGAUUUAUACUUUAGAUCUCUCAUUUUAAAGAAAUCAUGUGAUAUUUAACUUUAUGUGCCUAGUUUGUUUCACUUAGUGCUGUGGUCUCAAGAUCCUCCCACUUUUCUAUAAACAACUCAAAUUUAUCCUUCUUUAUGACUGAAUGUAUAUACUACCAUAUUUUCUUUAUAUGGUCAUCUAUUGGUGGACAUAAGCCACGUCCAUAAUUUAGCUGCUGUGACUUGUACUGCUAUAAACAUGGGUAUGCAUAUUAUCACUGUAAUGUCAUUUCUUUGAGUCUUUGAGUAUUUAAGGAGACUUUGAGUCUUUAAGGAGAGGUAGAGCUGGGUCAAGUGGAAUUUCUGUUUUUAGUUUUUUGAGGAAUUUCCAUAUUGAUUGCCACAGUGGCUGUACCAGUUUACACUCCACGAACUGUAGAAGGUUCCUUUCACCCCACAACCUUGCAAGCAUUUGGUGCUGGGUUUUUUUUUUUUUUUUUUUUUUUUUUUUUUGAGGCCUCAAUAAUAGCCCUUUUAUUGGAGUAGAACAGAAUCUUGGUGUUGCUUUGAUUUGCAUUUCUGUAGUGGCCGAAGAUGCUAAGCAUUUUCUCACAUACUUUUUGGCUGUUUGUACUUCUUCUGAGAAGUAUCCAUACAUAUCAAUUGCCCACUUGUUCAUUGGUUUUUUUUUUUUUUUUUAAAUCGGUACCGGGGAUCGAACUCACAACCGCACGCUUGUAGGACAGGUGCUUAUGCCGCUGAGCUAAAUCCCCAGCCCCGAAUUGCCCAUUUGUUAUUGGAUCUCUUAUUUUGGGGAUCUAAUACUGGAGGGUUCUUUAUAUAUUCUAGGAAUUAGUCUUUUAGGAGUAGCUGGCAAUUUUUUUCCCAUUUUGUAGUUUGUCUCUUCAUUUUGUUGGUUAUUUCCUUUGCUGGGCAGAAGCUUUUAAAUCUGUUAUAGGCCCAUUUGUUGGCUCUUGGUAUUCUUUCCUGUGCAACCAGGGUUCUGUUUGGAAAGUCCUUGCCUAUACCUAUGUCUUCAAAACUUUACCCAAACUUUUUUUUCCAGCAGAUUUAGUGUUUCUGCUUUAAUAUCUAGGUCUUUGACUCAUUUUGAUUUGAUUUUAGAACAGAGUGAAAAAUAUGGACCUAGAUUCAAUUUACUCAUAAAUAACCAGUUUCCUUAGCAUCAUUUAUUAAAGAGGCCAUCCUUUCUCCAGUAUAUGCUUUUGGCCCCUUUGUCAAAGAUCAGAUGGCUGGAUGCACCUGGGAUUGUUCCUAUACCCUCUAUUCUCUUCCACUGAUCUACAUGUCUGUUUUUGUGUCAGUGCCAUGUUGUUUUUAUAUCUGUAGCUUUGUAACAUAAUUUGAAAUUUGGGAUUGUGAUGCCUCCUGGUUUGUUCUUAUUGCUCAGAUUGCUUUUGCUAUUCUGCUUCUCUUUUAGUUCCACGUGAGUGUUAGAAUUGUUUUUUCUAGUUCUAUAAAAAAUGAUGAAGGUAUUUGGAUUGGAAUUGCAUUAAAUGUAUGAUACAUAUAUCAUUUUUGGGAAAAGGCAUUUUGACAACAUUGGUUUUGCCUACCCAGUAAUAUGGGCUGUCUUUACAUUUUCUGUCUGUGUUUUUGUUUUGAGACAGGGUCUCGCUGUAUGGUUUAUGCUGGUCUUGAAUUCAUUAUGUAGACCAGGAUGGCCUCAAACUCAUGGUGAUCUUUUUGCCUCAAUUUCCUGAGUGCUGUAUUACAGAUGUGUGCUACUUGUAGUAGAGGGCUUUCACUUAUUGGGUUAGGUUGAUUUCUAAGUAUUUAAGUUUUUUCAUGCUGUUGUCAAUGGGUUUGUUUUCCAUUAUUCUUGGUGAGUUCAUCGUUGGUGCACGAGACUACUACAGAUAUUUGUAUAUAGUUUUUUAUCCCGCUACAUUGCUGAAUUUGUUUAUUAAUAAGUUCUAACACUCUUCUGGCAGAGCAUUUGGAUCUUCUAUCUAAUCUAGAACUUAAAACAAUCUCCCCUUUUCCACAAGCAGACCAACAACAAAACAGGCCUCUCAGUAGCCAACCAACCUCACCGAUUAAACAUCACUUAUAAAAAGACACAUGUUACUCAAGAUUAUUGAUUCUUAUAUUUUUUAGAUAGCUCAAAAAAUGUGUUCAUCUGGUUUUCAAAAGUAAGUUGGAGUAUGUGCUCCAUUUUAGAAAAAUAUUCACUCACAAAAAGGUUAAAUUUAAGAGGAGAACAAGAGUCUGGAAAUAUGUAUUCUUUUAAAUACCCUUUGCUUUCUCAAAACUCAUAUCUAGAACAUCAUUUCUGAUACUUCUGGAACCCUAACAUUUUAUUUCCAAAUUGAUUCAUUUGAGGGAAAAUAACAGAGUGAAAGAAACUAAAUAGUGUCUACGACAUUGUUAGAAAAUGUGACCAUGGUCUUCACACAAAUCGUCAGAAAGAGCUGCACACGAGAGCAUUUUCCCUGGUGUUGUGUGGCAUUCAGGUACUGUGCGCCGUACCUUGCACUCUGGGCCUAGCAGUAUGUGGGUUUGAAACACCAUCAAGGAAUACUUGAACGUCCUUUUUCAAAUGAAACUGCAGUAAAAACGUUUUGUUUUGCAAACACGUUAAUUUUGGGAGGAUUUCCACUGGAUGCCAGUGGAGCAUCUUUAUCCUGUCCUUACACAGUCUCAGAAAAAAUGCUGUAUGGAUGAGGCUGAUAAACCAACUUCCUUCUUACCCCGUCAUUGGCAUGUGGUCAUCUGUGGACAUACAGAGGAGCUCACUGAAGUACAGGAUGGUACAGGAGAUAGUCACAAGUACAACGUGUCAGAUGCCUGCCCAGUCCGAGUGACAGGAUGGUAGACAAAUAUAGCUCCUGCCUUGCAGGAGCAAAUGAGAUACAGUAUAACAAAUGUUCCCAGAGGCAAAAGAACAGGACGCUAGAAACAUACAGGACAGGACACUAGCUGGUUCAGUCUUGAGGGUAUUAAAGGUUUCUUGAAUAAAGUAGUAUUUUAAGUGGGAAUUAAAGGUUAACCACUAACACAGGGCCUCACUGUAAAAAUAGUUUUUAAAAAAAUUUACCCUCUUUCUACAUUCUCAGUGCAAAACAAUCUAUAACCUCCAAUGUAUUUUUAAAAUCAUAUAAUCUAGUCUGGUGGUGCAUGCCUGUUACAUCAGCUACUCAGAAAGCCGAGCCUAAAGGAUCCCUUGCAUCUAUGUGCUCAAGGUCAUUCUGGGCAACAAAGCAAAACCCCACGUCAAAACAGAAAAAGGUACAUUUCCUAUAUUCUCUACCUUGUUUACAGUAUACAUAAUAAAAUAAUGUAAAUAACUGGGUGGUAGAUCAGGUAUAAAUUCUAUAUUUGCAGGCAAAGGGGAAAACAACGUUGCAAGCUUCUAUUCGCUUCUCUUAUACUUGGCCCACUGUUUACUUCCAGAGUGGCCUCCUAACCACCGUGGGGCAGUACGCUGCUCUCCUCACGUGGUCCCUAUCACCAAAGCAAUGGCCACUGAUGUAUCUCAUCGACACUGAGUUUCAGUUAUGCGAUGAUUCCAUUAAUACAGAAUACAUUAAUACAGAAUUAAUUAAUACAGAAUUUUCUGUCAUAUCCAUUGGGCAAUGUCAUUGAGAAAUGGCUAUUUGAUUAAAACGUCUAAACUCGAAUCAUCUGUAAUCUCUACCUGGCUUGGAAGUUCAUGCCAGUAUCAGUUUUUAAAAAUUCUUUUCCAUUUUCCUUAUUUAGCCUUUGUAGAACAAUGGACAUUUUAUUCUCAAUCUUCCUGGCCCUAGAUACGAAUCUGGGGAUGCUUGUUUUACGAUGCCUUUGAUUUUUUCUUAGUCUUUAAAAACAACAAUAAAAAUACACUGUUCUGGCAUAAAUUUAUCAAAAUAGUAUUUAGCAAUUGCAUGGGCAAUGCUGAGUAACUCCCACUGUUACUUUGAUGAUUAACUGGAGACCCAGGCUAGGACUGAACAACCAAUUGUCUCAGGGAAACCGGGAACUUCUGGGUGACAGUUCACCCAGGAGUUCACAGUGGAAGAGCAGAAAACAGCUUGGAAACUGCCUCCCAGCCAGACCCACAGGACCGUAUGAGGGGAUGGCGAGGACACAGGCGGAAAUCCAAAGUGGCUUGCAGUGAUUGCCUUCAUUUUAUUUUUGAGAAAAAAUCUUUUAGACUUCUCAUUGUUUUGAGAGAAUUACACAUUUAUUUUGGACCCAUUAGAAAUUUAGGAAUUCCUUUCCUGAUAAACAGACACGUGGAUCAAAGGUGGGUGAACAGGUUCUUACACCAACCACCUGCAUGGCUUUGACUAUGGACAGAUAGUACACAGAACUCUGAGGCCCAUGCUGUUUUCAUGAUUCUAGACCCAAUGGCAUUUGCCACCUGCAUGCUCUGGGAUGAAGUCCAUGUGUCUGUGUCACCCUCUCCCAUCCAACCCAUUCCUUCUCUUCUGCGCCCCACAUUCGUGCCAGAAAUCGGGGAGCUUUGACUCACCUCCCCUCUUAUCAGUUCUACCCACCAGCUCCGAAACCUAUUUUUUAUGGUAUUUUAUCACUUAUACCCAUGUGAACUCUUGCUUGCAUUUCUAGAAGUAUAGACAAAGCAAUCAUUCUUAAGAGCCAAUCUUUUUUUAAAUUUCUGGUUUGUUUUAUUAAUAACUAUUAGCAUACAUUAAACAAUGUGAUGGGUUUGUGAUGGUUUACAUGUAUUUACAUGUAAAUCACAUAACUGUAUCACCCCACCUCCCUAACCCUCUCUUAAUCUCUACCCUUCCCUAUUACCUUUCUCUUCCCUUUUAUUUUUAUGUUAUCUUUUUUCUUUAUUUCUAGAUUCUGCAUGCAAGAGAAAAUAUAGUAUGCUUGUCUUUUAAGUCUGGCUUAUUUGAUUAACAUAAUGAUCUCUAGUUCCAUACAUUUUCCAGGAAAUUAUAUGAUUUGUUGUUUUUUUAUGGCUGAAAAAUACUCCAUUUGCAUGUAUACCACAUUUCCCAUCGGUAGUCAUCUAGAUCGGAUCUACAUUGUCGCUAUUGUGACCAGCACUGUGAUGGACACGGGUAUACAAGUAUCUCUAUUGUAUGCAGACUUUGAUUGUUUCAAGUGUUUACUCAGCAGUGGCAUAGUAGAUCAUAUUGUAGUUCUGUUUAUUUAGUUUUUAUUAAGAACUUCAUACAGAUUUACAUAGUGGCUGAGCUAAUUCACAUUCCUACCAAAAAUGUACUAUUUCUCUGAAGAUGUCUCUUGAGUUCUUUUGCCCAUUUAUUGAUUGGAUUAUCUGUUCUUUUGGUGUUAGUGAUUUUGAAUCUAAUUUUAUCAUUUCAUUGCUCUGAAGCAUUAUACUUGCUAACACACUGCUCUUAGGAUAAAGCAUGAAAUCUCAUAGCAGGACAUGUAUCACCUUCACAAUUUGACCCCAAUUACCUCUGUCCACUUACCUUUCGCAAA
This is a long non-coding RNA of Cavia porcellus (domestic guinea pig), 8021 nucleotides long. RefSeq lists it as uncharacterized. The record is from RefSeq and is a predicted model, not a curated record. Lineage: Eukaryota; Metazoa; Chordata; Mammalia; Rodentia; Caviidae. The transcript is spliced from 3 exons.